GGAUGUGAGGGCGAUCUGGCUGCGACAUCUGUCACCCCAUUGAUCGCCAGGGUUGAUUCAGCUGAUCUGGCUGGCUAGGCAGGUGUCCCCUUCCUCCCUCACCGCUCCAUGUGCGUCCCUCCCGAAGCUGCGCGCUCGGUCGAAGAGGAUGGCCUUCCCCGAAUAGAGACUAGAGACGGACCGGUCUUCGGUCAAGGGUAUACAAGUAGCUGCGCUCCCCUGCUAGAACCUCCAAACAAGCUCUCAAGGUCCAUUUGUAGGAGAACGUAGGGUAGUCAAGCUUCCAAGACUCCAGACACAUCCAAAUGAGGCGCUGCAUGUGGCAGUCUGCCUUAAAAA
Erinaceus europaeus (western European hedgehog) is the source of this 339-nucleotide non-coding RNA. NCBI's taxonomy places the organism in Eukaryota, Metazoa, Chordata, Mammalia, Eulipotyphla, Erinaceidae. The record is from Rfam.